Non-coding RNA from Paramuricea clavata, 2374 nucleotides. The record is from the annotation of a GenBank genome assembly. NCBI's taxonomy places the organism in Eukaryota, Metazoa, Cnidaria, Anthozoa, Malacalcyonacea, Plexauridae.
GUGAGCAAAAUGUAAAAAGACAAUUACCAGUAAUACUGGCCUUACUACAUCCCUAUUAUUUACCUUGCAACCUUGAGCAGUUGUGCUGUUACAGCAGAAUGUGGUUUGAAAUGACAGUUAUUUUAUAUGGCCAUUAUGAUAUUCCAGUGUGCCAGUAAGACAUUUGUCGUUUGUUUUUUUUAGUAUUAUAUCGAAAAGGUGAUUGCAGGGUAUUCAGAUCCUGGAGUGAUGUGAAAUGGCCAUGACCUUGGGCAAUUUAUAAGUAAUAUAUGAGUGGUGUAAAAUAGGAAAUUUUUUAUUCAUUCUGAUUGACUAAUAAAAUUAGAAUGGUGAGAAUAAUGAUGAUGAUGGUAGUGAAAUACAAAUUGUGAUGAUAUUGGUGAUGCACAAGUUGUAAUGAUACUGCUGAUAAUGAUCAAAAAUAUAUUGUAUUUGUGAUGAGACAUAAAUAAUAGAGAUUGGCAGUAAUGAAUGUGUAUGACUUGAUUAAUUGUGCUGGUGAGAAGCCAAUAUAUUGCCACCUAGAUGAAUUAAGUCCCAUGCCAUUUUGUGUUCAAAACUAACUGUUCUCAUCAGCUCCAAGCAUAACUGGGAAAGCUGGUUGCAAUCCUGUUAGCUGAUCUUGAAACUAUGUGACACAUAUAAAUAUUUAUUUUUUCCCCUCAUGAAUUAUAUUGUUUGCCCAAAAUAUCGGUUGAUUAUUUCAUCUAGAAACAGUGUGAAUGUUGUUUGAAUUUGGUAUGUUCACUCUGUGACAAGUGAAAGUGAUAUGUAAUUCAUGCAUAAUAUGGUAAUUUUUGGUUUCAGGAUGUAAAAAAUGAAAUUUACUUACUGAUAAAAUUCAGUGUAACCAUAUUCGUUAAGCCUCUGUGUCUCUCUUAGAAGCCCUACCUCCUCAAUACAAAUAAAACUCUGCAUAGUGACUUGUGCCGUGACUAAUAUUAUGUUACAGCUUUGGUUCAAAUUUCAUAAAUCAUGAACCGAUGUACAGUAACUGCAAAUGUAAACAAAUAUAGGUGAACGCACACCCAGUAUACAGACUGUUAUUUGCCUUUAAGACUCCUAAGUCACAUAUCACUGAUAUAAGAUUCAUAGUAAAUUUUUUGUUUCAAGAUCACUGUAUAUUAUUUCUCAUGAUUCAGGAUUGGUACUCCCCCCCCCCUCCCCCUUCCAGACAAACAGAAAUAUAAAUGAUACAACCCAAAAAAUAAAUAUGAAAUUAACGCACACACACAAAGGUUUCAAGAUCGAUACUCUGUAUAUUUUCAUUCACAACUGUAUUUUAAACUACAUACAUACGGAAAUCAACCUGUCACUCGACCAGUUAAUUGUUUCAAAAUAUUCUGCUUUGAUAUUAACUACAUGUUUAAUACACAUGAACUAAAGAAUUUCGUUUCCACAGAUGUCCCCUCUGAUUUAUCCUUCAAUAAAAGUACAAUAAAAUCCCAAGUGAUAUUCUUUGGUCAAUACAUAAAAAUUACUUAUAAUCAACAAUGUUUAUUUAAUUCUUUAUAAAACGUCGCACACAAGCAGCUGCAUUGGAUACAAAAUAGACAGUUUAAAGACAGAUCACUCGACUAGUUUUCUCUCAGUUUGAUCUUCAUCCUUCAAUCUUUGAUAAUUAUUACCGUUAGCUCUUCCACAAUUUGUUGAAAGAAAGCUCGUAGAAUGCAUAGAUAAUAUAUACCCACUCUUAAAUCUCACUAGGAAAGUUUUAUUUAUCAUAAUAAUAUGAAAACUCGAAAACUUCGCGCUGCCAUGUUUGAUAAAAUAAAUCGGCUCCGCUCCCCCCGGAUUGAAAACUAAAUUAUUACGAAAUGUCCAAUAUUUUUGGAGUCACAUGACCAGUGUUUACCAGGGCCUUUGCUUCCCGUACCAGAGCCUCUGAACCGCGCAAAGGCCCAGGGUACGAGGUUGUAUUAAUUGUGUCUCGAUUCAGAGUUGACCCCCUGUCAAAUUUAUGACAUCAUAUGAAACACAAUAAUACACAGUAUAAUAUUACAGCUAAUUGUAGCAGAAAGUAUUUAACGAUUUUAAUUUAUUGAGUAGUACAAUAUGCCAAGGCAAUCCCUUUAUUAAUCUUGUCCACACAGUAAUUCAAAGAAGCUCUUCCCUCUGUACGAGGUUGUAUUAAUUGGGUUCUGUCCAAGAAAACGUCAUAAACCUUUUGAUCCAAAUGUUACAAAGUAUGAAUCCCAGAUUCGGAAACCAUAUAAAUAUUUUUAAUAUAUUCAUAUACUUUUUAAAAGAAAUGUUCUAUUCACAAAAAAUAUUAAAUGUAGUGAUUAGCCACCAAUACCAGAAUUCAUUUUCAUCACCUUCCCCCUGGUUAUGACCCCCUGCAGGGAACCACCUAGGGUGCAGGUAUAAUUUU